GAUAAACGCUAGCGGCAGGCUUAACACAUGCAAGUCGAGGGGCAGCAUAGAUUGUAGCAAUACAAUUGGUGGCGACCGGCGCGCGGGUGCGUAACGCGUAUGCAACCUACCCGUCACAGGGGGAUAAUCCGGAGAAAUCUGGUCUAAUACCCCAUAACAUAUGGAUCGGCAUCGGUUCAUGUUGAAAUUUUCGGAGGUGACGGAUGGGCAUGCGUAGCAUUAGCUUGUUGGUGAGGUAACGGCUCACCAAGGCGACGAUGCUUAGGGGGACUGAGAGGUUUUCCCCCCACACUGGUACUGAGACACGGACCGGACUCCUACGGGAGGCAGCAGUGAGGAAUAUUGGUCAAUGGGCGCAAGCCUGAACCAGCCAUGCCGCGUGCAGGAUGACGGCUCUAUGAGUCGUAAACUGCUUUUGUACGAGGGUAAAGUGGGUUACGUGUAACCUUUUGAAAGUAUCGUACGAAUAAGGAUCGGCUAACUCCGUGCCAGCCGCCGCCGUAA
RNAcentral lists this ribosomal RNA (504 nucleotides) under uncultured bacterium. RNAcentral describes it as "partial 16S ribosomal RNA". It matches the Rfam family "Bacterial small subunit ribosomal RNA", at positions 28 to 523 of the family's 1533-position model. The record is from RNAcentral.